This 3236-nucleotide unclassified non-coding RNA is filed under the name Schistocerca americana (American grasshopper). Its description in RNAcentral is "gPI ethanolamine phosphate transferase 3, transcript variant X4". Lineage: Eukaryota; Metazoa; Arthropoda; Insecta; Orthoptera; Acrididae. The record is from RNAcentral.
UGUUUACGCCGUAAGGCAAGGUAGUGAAUGGUGUGUGGAUGAUGGCUUGAAGAGUGAUUGUGUGUAAAUGGGGUGACCGGCAGCAUGGAAAGGGCGUGGAAGUAUUUUAUUUUGUUAAUUUGGUUUUCAUAUUUACUAGUAACAGGAAUUUUGCUUUUCGGUCGCGGUUUUCUUCUUACCAGGGAAUCAUUAUUUCGGAAUGAUAGCACUAAACCUAGUACAAUUUGUGAUUUAUACGUUACAAAAGACAGAGUCGACAGUUUAAGUCACUCAAGCAAUGAGGAGACAUUCACGGACCAAUGCACUGCACAAUACGAAUCUAUUUCAGCAGUAAAUAGCUUUAAAGUUAUACUGAUUGUAAUCGACGCUUUAAAAUUUGAUUUCGUAUCCUACGAUGAGAACGCCCAGGAAACACCGUUUAAAAAUAAGCUGACUGUAAUACGUGAUUUAUUGAAGGAAAAACCUGAAAGAACCAGAUUGUACAAAUUUAUUGCUGAUCCACCGACAACAACAAUGCAGCGCCUUAAAGGGAUGACAACAGGCAGUUUGCCGACUUUCAUUGACAUAGGCUCUAAUUUUGCUACUCCAGAAAUCAAUGAGGACAAUAUCAUAGACCAACUGAAAAGGCACAAUAGGAGCAUCGUUUUCAUGGGAGAUGACACAUGGUCUGGGUUGUAUCCUGGCCGCUUCUUAAGAGAAUAUGCGUAUCCGUCAUUCAAUGUAUGGGAUCUGGAUACGGUUGACAGCGGUAUUCAGACACAUCUUUUGCCAGAAAUUAGAAAACAAGAUUGGCAUUUGAUAAUAUCGCAUUUCCUGGGUGUAGAUCAUUGUGGCCACAGAUAUGGACCACACCAUCCAGAAAUGGCAAGAAAGCUCAAGGAAAUGAAUCAUGUAAUAAGUGAUGUUGUUAACACUAUGGAUAAUAAUACAAUACUGCUUGUUGUUGGAGACCAUGGAAUGACAAAUACAGGUGACCAUGGUGGAGACAGUGAAGCAGAAGUUACAGCAGCCUUAUUUGUGUACUCGUCAGUUCCACUUGUACCUUCUAGUAUGGUGCCUUAUUCUAGUGUAGUCAGUCAAGUGGAUCUAGUACCAACAUUAUCUACAAUACUGGAUGUGGAUAUCCCAUUUCCCAACCUAGGCACUGUGAUAUUGGAUGCACUGCCUUCUCUUUCUACGAACAGCAGGAGUUUUCCUGAAUGGAAAACACUUCUGUGGUAUUUAUGGAAAAAUGUGGAGCAAGCUUCACACUACAUCCAGCAGUAUUCUAAUGAAAGCAACCAGUUGCCAAAAGAAAAACUUGAUAUAUUAGAUGAAAAGUAUAUUUACCUUGUACAGAAAGUGAAAAGUGUUGAUUGUGAAGAGAGUUUUAAAAACUUUGCCCAACUUGCAAAGGAUUAUUUAAUAUUUCUAAAAGAAAUGUGUAAAGAAGUUUGGGUUCAUUUUGAUCCCUUGUCCAUGUCUCGAGGCCUAAUUGUUACUUUUUUAACGCUGUUCUUUUCGUACCUGCUUGUUGAUGGUUUACCUGGUAAUUUGUUAAUAGAUGUAAUUAGUGAUGCAUUUCUUAUUGUAAUGUGUUUUGCUUUGGGUUUGGCCACUGUUGGAGUUUUAUUUUCGGACUCUUUUAAUGCAAUAGAAAAUUUAGAGCAGGACAUUUACUUUUUUAUGGGAUGUAUAUCACUAUUUUUCAUGUGUGUCAUUAUAAUUCAGAAUUGGGCAUCUAUAACAAAACACUGGUAUAACCAGCAAAAGUUAAAUGAUAUUCCAAGUAUAUUUGCUAGAUUUCUUCUAAUAUGUGGUUUAUUUUCUGUUUUUUCCAACAGUUUUGUUGUGGAGGAAGCCACUGUUGUAUCAUAUUUUGUUACAAGUUUGAUUUGGAUAAUAUUGUAUGAAUUUAAAUCCCCGAGGCAGAGUCAGACUUUGACAGUGAAAUCAUCAUUUUCUAAAUUGCAUUUGUCACCAUCUAGAUUAAAAAUUCUAAGUUUGGCAGCGAUAUUGACCAUCAUGAUUCGGCUGUCCCAUUAUUAUUGGAGAUGUAGGGAAGAACAGGUUAACUGUGGGCCUUUCAUUACUCAUAAAUCUCCUGCAUCUGCAACUGUGGGAAAUAAAUACAGAAAUGCUGAGUGCCUUUUCACUGUUGGUUGUCUUGCUGCAUUUGUCACAGUAGCAAGACUGUGGCUUCGAAGUUGUGGGAACUUAGCUGCGUAUUCGACAACGGUUACACUUUUUAAGUAUUGCCCUAAUUUAAUAGUAGUUUCUACUGGUGGCUUUUGGGUGCUCCAGAGCUUGCCCAGAGACACAAAAAAUAAUGUUUUUUUCCCCUGGCAUCUGCAAGUUUUGCCAUGGUUUAUCUUUACACUUAUCAUUGCUGCAGUUUUUAGUUUGUGUGUUGAACCACUGUGUGUAUAUCUUGUUCCAAAGAAGAAAGAGAAAAUUAUAUCUUUUUAUGGACAGGAGAAUGUGAUUCCUAAUUUAUUCAAACAUGUGAGAAGUAUGAUCCGUGAAAAUAAAAUGAAUGGCAGUGUAAACAGUGACCAGAUAAACAGUACUGAAAACUUCCCAGUUGUUUAUGGACUAGCAACUGUAUAUAGUGCAGCAUUUGUUGUACUCACAGUAUUUGUUUCUCUUCUUGCUGCACUUUUGCAUGGGGAUGUGCUGGCACCAUCAUUAGUAUUGAUGGUGUCAACAGCAGCUGGAGUUUUGGCUAUGCUGUCAGUGGGACAGUUUGAAAAAUCUCAAACAGCUGGUGCUGUGUAAAUGCAGAUAUUCCUGCAAGUCAUUGUCAUACAGAAAACAGAGCGCCCCCCUGUUUGUGCUGUUCUACCACCUCUCUUAAGAGCAACAGGAUACAUUCUUAAUCGGGUGCAUUCAAGUAACAUCUGUUGCCAGAAGACAUCAUGGUACAAAUAAUAAGCCCUAUGAGAGCAGAAGGCAAGAGCCAGCAUGCAUUACAUAAUACCUAAUGGUUCAGGAGUAGGCAUGCAAGUAUGUAAUAAAAUGUUCUCAGAUAUUUUUGGAUUUCCUUCCUGAUGGCUACAGACUCUUCAAGAUAAACUUUAAAGGGGGAAACAACUUACGACGACUGUAGAGAACACAUUCUCAUCUCUUCAUUGUGCCUUGGUCAUCUGUUAUAUGCUGGGGAUUUCUUUCUGUCACCUUCUUUUAUGCAACAGGGCAUCAACCAGCAUUCAGUACAAUACAGUGGAAUGCUGCAUUUGUAGGCACUACUGGCCAAU